RNAcentral lists this ribosomal RNA (460 nucleotides) under uncultured bacterium. Its description in RNAcentral is "partial 16S ribosomal RNA". It matches the Rfam family "Bacterial small subunit ribosomal RNA", at positions 338 to 795 of the family's 1533-position model. The record is from RNAcentral.
CCUACGGGAGGCAGCAGUGAGGAAUAUUGGUCAAUGGACGAGAGUCUGAACCAGCCAAGUAGCGUGAAGGAUGACUGCCCUAUGGGUUGUAAACUUCUUUUAUAUGGGAAUAAAAUGUUCCACGUGUGGGAUUUUGUAUGUACCAUAUGAAUAAGGAUCGGCUAACUCCGUGCCAGCAGCCGCGGUAAUACGGAGGGUCCGAGCGUUAUCCGGAUUUAUUGGGUUUAAAGGGAGCGUAGGUGGAUUGUUAAGUCAGUUGUGAAAGUUUGAGGCUCAACCGUAAAAUUGCAGUUGAAACUGGCAGUCUUGAGUACAGUAGAGGUGGGCGGAAUGCGUGGUGUAGCGGUGAAAUGCUUAGAUAUCACGAAGAACUCCGAUUGCGAAGGCAGUUCACUGGACUGCAACUGACACUGAGGCUCGAAAGUGUGGGUAUCAAACAGGAUUAGAUACCCCUGUAGUC